UACAGAGGUGGCAAGCGUUGUUCGGAAUUACUGGGCGUAAAGGGCUCGUAGGCGGCCAACUAAGUCGGACGUGAAAUCCCCAGGCUUAACUUGGGAACUGCGUCCGAUACUGGAUGGCUUGAAUCCGGGAGAGGGAUGCGGAAUUCCAGGUGUAGCGGUGAAAUGCGUAGAUAUCUGGAGGAACACCGGUGGCGAAGGCGGCAUCCUGGACCGGUAUUGACGCUGAGUGAGCGAAAGCCAGGGGAGCAAACGGG
This 254-nucleotide ribosomal RNA is filed under the name uncultured bacterium. RNAcentral's name for it is "partial 16S ribosomal RNA". It matches the Rfam family "Bacterial small subunit ribosomal RNA", at positions 524 to 776 of the family's 1533-position model. The record is from RNAcentral.